UACGUAGGGACCAAGCGUUGUCCGGAAUUCAUUGGGCGUAAAGCGCGCGUAGGUGGCCAUUUAAGUCCGCUGUGAAAGAUCAAAGGCUCAACCUUUGAAAGCCGGUGGAUACUGGAUGGCUAGAGUACGGAAGAGGCGAGUGGAAUUCCUGGUGUAGCGGUGGAAUGCGCAGAUAAUCGAGGAGGAACACCCAUGGCGAAGGCAGCUCCCGUGGCUCGACCCUGACGCUGAGGCGCGAAAGCGUGGGGAGCGAACGGG
Molecule: ribosomal RNA, 258 nt
Filed under: uncultured bacterium
Lineage: Bacteria
Description: partial 16S ribosomal RNA
Rfam family: Bacterial small subunit ribosomal RNA
Source: RNAcentral